RNAcentral lists this ribosomal RNA (2903 nucleotides) under Enterobacter roggenkampii. Its description in RNAcentral is "23S ribosomal RNA". It matches the Rfam family "Bacterial large subunit ribosomal RNA". The record is from RNAcentral. Lineage: Bacteria; Pseudomonadati; Pseudomonadota; Gammaproteobacteria; Enterobacterales; Enterobacteriaceae.
UUAAGCGACUAAGCGUACACGGUGGAUGCCCUGGCAGUCAGAGGCGAUGAAGGACGUGCUAAUCUGCGAAAAGCGCCGGCGAGGUGAUAUGAACCUUUGACCCGGCGAUGUCCGAAUGGGGAAACCCAGUGUGAUUCGUCACACUAUCGUUAACUGAAUACAUAGGUUAACGAGGCGAACCGGGGGAACUGAAACAUCUAAGUACCCCGAGGAAAAGAAAUCAACCGAGAUUCCCCCAGUAGCGGCGAGCGAACGGGGAGCAGCCCAGAGUCUGAAUCAGCUUGUGUGUUAGUGGAAGCGUCUGGAAAGUCGCACGGUACAGGGUGACAGUCCCGUACACGAAAGCACACAGGUUGUGAACUCGAAGAGUAGGGCGGGACACGUGGUAUCCUGUCUGAAUAUGGGGGGACCAUCCUCCAAGGCUAAAUACUCCUGACUGACCGAUAGUGAACCAGUACCGUGAGGGAAAGGCGAAAAGAACCCCGGCGAGGGGAGUGAAAUAGAACCUGAAACCGUGUACGUACAAGCAGUGGGAGCACCUUCGUGGUGUGACUGCGUACCUUUUGUAUAAUGGGUCAGCGACUUAUAUUCUGUAGCAAGGUUAACCGUAUAGGGGAGCCGAAGGGAAACCGAGUCUUAACUGGGCGUUAAGUUGCAGGGUAUAGACCCGAAACCCGGUGAUCUAGCCAUGGGCAGGUUGAAGGUUGGGUAACACUAACUGGAGGACCGAACCGACUAAUGUUGAAAAAUUAGCGGAUGACUUGUGGCUGGGGGUGAAAGGCCAAUCAAACCGGGAGAUAGCUGGUUCUCCCCGAAAGCUAUUUAGGUAGCGCCUCGUGAACUCAUCUUCGGGGGUAGAGCACUGUUUCGGCUAGGGGGCCAUCCCGGCUUACCAACCCGAUGCAAACUACGAAUACCGAAGAAUGUUAUCACGGGAGACACACGGCGGGUGCUAACGUCCGUCGUGAAGAGGGAAACAACCCAGACCGCCAGCUAAGGUCCCAAAGUCAUGGUUAAGUGGGAAACGAUGUGGGAAGGCACAGACAGCCAGGAUGUUGGCUUAGAAGCAGCCAUCAUUUAAAGAAAGCGUAAUAGCUCACUGGUCGAGUCGGCCUGCGCGGAAGAUGUAACGGGGCUAAACCAUGCACCGAAGCUGCGGCAGCGACGCGUAUGCGUUGUUGGGUAGGGGAGCGUUCUGUAAGCCGUUGAAGGUGGCCUGUGAGGGUUGCUGGAGGUAUCAGAAGUGCGAAUGCUGACAUAAGUAACGAUAAAGCGGGUGAAAAGCCCGCUCGCCGGAAGACCAAGGGUUCCUGUCCAACGUUAAUCGGGGCAGGGUGAGUCGACCCCUAAGGCGAGGCCGAAAGGCGUAGUCGAUGGGAAACAGGUUAAUAUUCCUGUACUUGGUGUUACUGCGAAGGGGGGACGGAGAAGGCUAUGUUAGCCGGGCGACGGUUGUCCCGGUUUAAGCAUGUAGGCGGAACGAUUAGGUAAAUCCGGUCGUUUUUUAACGCUGAGGUGUGAUGACGAGGCACUACGGUGCUGAAGUAACAAAUGCCCUGCUUCCAGGAAAAGCCUCUAAGCAUCAGGUAACAUCAAAUCGUACCCCAAACCGACACAGGUGGUCAGGUAGAGAAUACCAAGGCGCUUGAGAGAACUCGGGUGAAGGAACUAGGCAAAAUGGUGCCGUAACUUCGGGAGAAGGCACGCUGAUAUGUAGGUGAAGCCCCUGCGGGUGGAGCUGAAAUCAGUCGAAGAUACCAGCUGGCUGCAACUGUUUAUUAAAAACACAGCACUGUGCAAACACGAAAGUGGACGUAUACGGUGUGACGCCUGCCCGGUGCCGGAAGGUUAAUUGAUGGGGUUAGCGGCAACGCGAAGCUCUUGAUCGAAGCCCCGGUAAACGGCGGCCGUAACUAUAACGGUCCUAAGGUAGCGAAAUUCCUUGUCGGGUAAGUUCCGACCUGCACGAAUGGCGUAAUGAUGGCCAGGCUGUCUCCACCCGAGACUCAGUGAAAUUGAACUCGCUGUGAAGAUGCAGUGUACCCGCGGCAAGACGGAAAGACCCCGUGAACCUUUACUAUAGCUUGACACUGAACACUGGUCCUUGAUGUGUAGGAUAGGUGGGAGGCUUUGAAGUGUGGACGCCAGUCUGCAUGGAGCCGUCCUUGAAAUACCACCCUUUAAUGGCUGGUGUUCUAACGUAGACCCGUGAUCCGGGUUGCGGACAGUGUCUGGUGGGUAGUUUGACUGGGGCGGUCUCCUCCCAAAGAGUAACGGAGGAGCACGAAGGUUAGCUAAUCCUGGUCGGACAUCAGGAGGUUAGUGCAAUGGCAUAAGCUAGCUUGACUGCGAGAGUGACGGCUCGAGCAGGUGCGAAAGCAGGUCAUAGUGAUCCGGUGGUUCUGAAUGGAAGGGCCAUCGCUCAACGGAUAAAAGGUACUCCGGGGAUAACAGGCUGAUACCGCCCAAGAGUUCAUAUCGACGGCGGUGUUUGGCACCUCGAUGUCGGCUCAUCACAUCCUGGGGCUGAAGUAGGUCCCAAGGGUAUGGCUGUUCGCCAUUUAAAGUGGUACGCGAGCUGGGUUUAGAACGUCGUGAGACAGUUCGGUCCCUAUCUGCCGUGGGCGCUGGAGAAUUGAGGGGGGCUGCUCCUAGUACGAGAGGACCGGAGUGGACGCAUCACUGGUGUUCGGGUUGUCAUGCCAAUGGCACUGCCCGGUAGCUAAAUGCGGAAAAGAUAAGUGCUGAAAGCAUCUAAGCACGAAACUUGCCCCGAGAUGAGUUCUCCCUGAGACUUUAAGUCUCCUGAAGGAACGUUGAAGACGACGACGUUGAUAGGUCGGGUGUGUAAGCGCAGCGAUGCGUUGAGCUAACCGAUACUAAUGAACCGUGAGGCUUAACCU